GAUGAACGCUGGCGGCGUGCCUAAUACAUGCAAGUCGAACGAGGUGCUUUUGUAGCAAUACGAGAGUAUCCUAGUGGCGAACGGGUGAGUAACGCGUUGGUGACCUGCCCCAAAGUGCGGGAUAACAGUCCGAAAGGACUGCUAAUACCGCAUGUGGUUCUUGGAUUUAGAAACCGAGCUCUAAAGGAGCAAUCCGCUUUGGGAGGGACCUGCGUCCCAUCAGCUAGUUGGUGAGGUAAUGGCCCACCAAGGCUACGACGGGUAGGGGACCUGAGAGGGUGGCCCCCCACAAUGGAACUGAAACACGGUCCAUACACCUACGGGUGGCAGCAGUAGGGAAUAUUGGGCAAUGGGCGAAAGCCUGACCCAGCAACGCCGCGUGUGUGAUGAAGGCCUUCGGGUCGUAAAGCACUUUUCUGGGAGAUGAGAAAGGACAGUAUCCCAGGAAUAAGUCUCGGCUAACUACGUGCCAGCAGCCGCGGUAAAACGUAGGAGGCGAGCGUUAUCCGGAUUCACUGGGCGUAAAGCGCGUGCAGGUGGCGCGGUAAGUUGGGCGUGAAAUCUCCCGGCUCAACUGGGAGAGGUCGUCCAAUACUACCGUGCUUGAGAGCAGAAGAGGAAGAUGGAAUUCCCGGUGUAGUGGUGAAAUGCGUAGAUAUCGGGAGGAACACCAGUGGCGAAGGCGAUCUUCUGGUCUGUUUCUGACACUCAGACGCGACAGCUAGGGUAGUAAACGGGAUUAGAGACCCCGGUAAUCCUAGCCGUAAACGAUGUGAACUUGGCGUUGGUGGGUUAAACUCCAUCAGUGCCGUAGCAAACGCGAUAAGUUCACCGCCUGGGGACUACGGCCGCAAGGUUA
Molecule: ribosomal RNA, 859 nt
Filed under: uncultured bacterium
Lineage: Bacteria
Description: bacterial SSU rRNA
Rfam family: Bacterial small subunit ribosomal RNA
Source: RNAcentral